UCCAGAUCUAUGCUUAACACAUGCAAGUCGAACGAGAAAAGGUCCUUCGGGGCCCGAGUAAAGUGGCGCACGGGUGAGUAACACGUGGGUAAUCUACCCUCCGGCGGGGGACAACCACUAGAAAUGGUGGCUAAUACCGCGUACGGCCCAACGGUCCACGGACUGUUGGGAGAAAGGCUUCGGCCACCGGAGGAUGAGCCCGCGGCCCAUCAGCUUGUUGGUGAGGUAAGAGCUCACCAAGGCUAAGACGGGUAGCUGGUCUGAGAGGAUGAUCAGCCACACUGGGACUGAGACACGGCCCAGACUCCUACGGGAGGCAGCAGUGGGGAAUAUUGGACAAUGGGCGAAAGCCUGAUCCAGCCACGCCGCGUGUGUGAUGAAGGCCCUCGGGUCGUAAAGCACUGUGGGGAAGGAAGAAGUUCUGACGGUACUUCCUUAGCAAGCACCGGCUAACUCCGUGCCAGCAGCCGCGGUAAUACGGAGGGUGCGAACGUUGCUCGGAAUCAUUGGGCGUAAAGCGCACGUAGGCGGCUUGGUAAGUCGACUGUGAAAGCCCUCGGCUCAACCGAGGAAGUGCAGCCGAAACUACCUGGCUUGAGUACGGGAGAGGGUAGCGGAAUUCCCGGUGUAGAGGUGAAAUUCGUAGAUAUCGGAAGGAA
RNAcentral lists this ribosomal RNA (659 nucleotides) under uncultured bacterium. RNAcentral's name for it is "bacterial SSU rRNA". It matches the Rfam family "Bacterial small subunit ribosomal RNA", at positions 36 to 706 of the family's 1533-position model. The record is from RNAcentral.